GAUGAACGCUAGCGGCAGGCCUAACACAUGCAAGUCGAGGGGGAAGUUACUUUCGGGUGACUGAGACCGGCGUACGGGUGCGUAACGCGUAUACAAUCUGCCUUUCACUGGGGGAUAGCCCGAAGAAAUUUGGAUUAAUACCCCAUAGUAUAUAGGGACGGCAUCGUUUUUAUAUUAAAGCUUAGGUGGUGAAAGAUGAGUAUGCGUUCUAUUAGCUAGUUGGAGAGGUAACGGCUCCCCAAGGCGAUGAUAGAUAGGGGUUCUGAGAGGGAUGUCCCCCACACUGGUACUGAGAUACGGACCAGACUCCUACGGGAGGCAGCAGUGAGGAAUAUUGGACAAUGGUCGGAAGACUGAUCCAGCCAUGCCGCGUGCAGGAGGAAGGUCUUAUGGAUUGUAAACUGCUUUUGUAAGGGAAGAAUAAGGGCUACGCGUAGUUUGAUGACGGUACCUUACGAAUAAGCAUCGGCUAACUCCGUG
This 480-nucleotide ribosomal RNA is filed under the name uncultured bacterium. Its description in RNAcentral is "partial 16S ribosomal RNA". It matches the Rfam family "Bacterial small subunit ribosomal RNA", at positions 28 to 507 of the family's 1533-position model. The record is from RNAcentral.